This 368-nucleotide ribosomal RNA is filed under the name uncultured organism. RNAcentral describes it as "bacterial SSU rRNA". It matches the Rfam family "Bacterial small subunit ribosomal RNA", at positions 526 to 896 of the family's 1533-position model. The record is from RNAcentral.
CGGAGGAUCCAAGCGUUAUCCGGAUUUAUUGGGUUUAAAGGGUGCGUAGGCGGCCAAUUAAGUCAGGGGUGAAAGACGGUAGCUUAACUAUCGCAGUGCCCUUGAUACUGAUGAGCUUGAAUAUACUUGAGGUAGGCGGAAUGUGACAAGUAGCGGUGAAAUGCAUAGAUAUGUCACAGAACACCAAUUGCGAAGGCAGCUUACUAAGGUAUGAUUGACGCUGAGGCACGAAAGCGUGGGGAUCAAACAGGAUUAGAUACCCUGGUAGUCCACGCCCUAAACGAUGAACACUCGAUGUUGGCGAUAUACGGUCAGCGUCAAAGCGAAAGCGUUAAGUGUUCCACCUGGGGAGUACGCCCGCAAGGGUG